GGUUCAAUUCUCCACUACUGAACACACUGCUAUCAUCAGCCCAACCGACUUUAUCGACUCUAGUCAAUCAAACGUUCAAUUCUCCACUAAUGAGCCAACUGCAAUCAUCAACCCAACAGACUUUAUCGACUCUAGUCAAUCAAACGGUUCAAUUUUCCACUACUGAACCCACUGCUAUCAUCAGCCCAACCGACUUUAUCGACUCUAGU
This is a long non-coding RNA of Ctenocephalides felis (cat flea), 209 nucleotides long. RefSeq lists it as uncharacterized. The transcript is spliced from 3 exons. The record is from RefSeq and is a predicted model, not a curated record. Lineage: Eukaryota; Metazoa; Arthropoda; Insecta; Siphonaptera; Pulicidae.